RNAcentral lists this microRNA precursor (59 nucleotides) under Python bivittatus (Burmese python). Its description in RNAcentral is "Pbv-Mir-205-P2_pre stem-loop". Lineage: Eukaryota; Metazoa; Chordata; Lepidosauria; Squamata; Pythonidae. The record is from RNAcentral.
CCCUUCAUUCCACCGGAAUCUGUAAAAGCAGACACCAGAUUUCUGUGAAAUGAAGCCCA